GCCUACGGCCAUACCACCCUGAAAGCGCCUGCUCUCGUCUGAUCUCGGAAGCUAAGCAGGGACGGGCUUGGUUAGUACCUGGAUGGGAGACCGCCUGGGAAUACCAGGUGUUGUAGGCU
This 119-nucleotide ribosomal RNA is filed under the name Xenopus tropicalis (tropical clawed frog). The record is from RNAcentral. Lineage: Eukaryota; Metazoa; Chordata; Amphibia; Anura; Pipidae.